CGAACGGGUGAGUAAUGUAUCGGAACGUGCCUAGUAGCGGGGGAUAACUACGCGAAAGCGUAGCUAAUACCGCAUACUCCCUACGGGGGAAAGCAGGGGAUCGCAAGACCUUGCACUAUUAGAGCGGCCGAUAUCGGAUUAGCUGGUUGGUGGGGUAACGGCUCACCAAGGCGACGAUCCGUAGCUGGUUUGAGAGGACGACCAGCCACACUGGGACUGAGACACGGCCCAGACUCCUACGGGAGGCAGCAGUGGGGAAUUUUGGACAAUGGGGGAAACCCUGAUCCAGCCAUCCCGCGUGUGCGAUGAAGGCCUUCGGGUUGUAAAGCACUUUUGGCAGGAAAGAAACGUCAUGGGCUAAUACCCCGUGAAACUGACGGGUACCUGCAGAAUAAGCACCGGCUAACUACGUGCCAGCAGCCGCGGUAAUACGUAGGGUGCAAGCGUUAAUCGGAAUUACUGGGCGUAAAGCGUGCGCAGGCGGUUCGGAAAGAAAGAUGUGAAAUCCCAGAGCUUAACUUUGGAACUGCAUUUUUAACUACCGAGCUAGAGUGUGUCAGAGGGAGGUGGAAUUCCGCGUGUAGCAGUGAAAUGCGUAGAUAUGCGGAGGAACACCGAUGGCGAAGGCAGCCUCCUGGGAUAACACUGACGCUCAUGCACGAAAGCGUGGGGAGCAAACAG
RNAcentral lists this ribosomal RNA (681 nucleotides) under uncultured bacterium. RNAcentral's name for it is "bacterial SSU rRNA". It matches the Rfam family "Bacterial small subunit ribosomal RNA", at positions 99 to 775 of the family's 1533-position model. The record is from RNAcentral.